AUUCAGCUGACGCGUCCUAAAUAGGACAAAACUCACGUCUUGGAU
Molecule: non-coding RNA, 45 nt
Filed under: Schistosoma mattheei
Lineage: Eukaryota; Metazoa; Platyhelminthes; Trematoda; Strigeidida; Schistosomatidae
Source: RNAcentral